AUUGAACGCUGGCGGCAUGCUUUACACAUGCAAGUCGAACGGCAGCGCGGGCUUCGGCCUGGCGGCGAGUGGCGAACGGGUGAGUAAUGCAUCGGAACGUGCCCAGUAGUGGGGGAUAGCCCGGCGAAAGCCGGAUUAAUACCGCAUACGACCUGAGGGUGAAAGCGGGGGACCGAAAGGCCUCGCGCUAUUGGAGCGGCCGAUGUCGGAUUAGCUAGUUGGUGGGGUAAAGGCUUACCAAGGCGACGAUCCGUAGCUGGUCUGAGAGGACGACCAGCCACACUGGGACUGAGACACGGCCCAGACUCCUACGGGAGGCAGCAGUGGGGAAUAUUGCACAAUGGGCGCAAGCCUGAUGCAGCGACGCCGCGUGGGGGAUGACGGCCUUCGGGUUGUAAACUCCUUUCGUCAGGGACGAAGCGAAAGUGACGGUACCUGGAUAAGAAGCACCGGCUAACUACGUG
This 464-nucleotide ribosomal RNA is filed under the name uncultured bacterium. RNAcentral's name for it is "partial 16S ribosomal RNA". It matches the Rfam family "Bacterial small subunit ribosomal RNA", at positions 29 to 507 of the family's 1533-position model. The record is from RNAcentral.